CCUACGGGAGGCAGCAGUGAGGAAUAUUGGUCAAUGGGCGCGAGCCUGAACCAGCCAAGUAGCGUGAAGGAUGACUGCCCUACGGGUUGUAAACUUCUUUUAUAAAGGAAUAAAGUGAGGCACGUGUGCCUUUUUGUAUGUACUUUAUGAAUAAGGAUCGGCUAACUCCGUGCCAGCAGCCGCGGUAAUACGGAGGAUCCGAGCGUUAUCCGGAUUUAUUGGGUUUAAAGGGAGCGUAGAUGGGUUGUUAAGUCAGUUGUGAAAGUUUGCGGCUCAACCGUAAAAUUGCAAUGGAUACUGGCAGUUUUGAGUACAGGUGAGGAAGGCGGAAUUCGGGGGGGAGCGGGGAAAUGUUAAGAUACCACGAAGAACCCCGAGUGAGAGGGCAGUUUACAAAACUGCCAUGGACAUUGAUGCUCGAAAGUGUGGGUAUAAAACAGGAUUAGAGCCCCGAGUAGGC
This 460-nucleotide ribosomal RNA is filed under the name uncultured bacterium. RNAcentral describes it as "partial 16S ribosomal RNA". It matches the Rfam family "Bacterial small subunit ribosomal RNA", at positions 338 to 795 of the family's 1533-position model. The record is from RNAcentral.